GUAGGGGCCAAACGUUUGUCCGGAUUUAUUGGGCGUAAAGGGCUCGUAGGCGGUUCAACAAGUCGGUCGUGAAAUGCCGGGGCUCAACCCCGGAACGCCGGUCGAAACUGUUGUGACUAGGGUCCGGUAGAGGUGAGUGGAAUUCUCGGUGUAGCGGUGGAAUGCGCAGAUAUCGAGAGGAACACCAGUUGCGGAGGCGGCUCACUGGGCCGGUACCGACGCUAAGGAGCGAAAGCAUGGGGAGCAAACAGGAUUAGAUACCCUGGUAGUCCAUGCCGUAAACUGUGAACACUAGGUGUGGCGGAUCUAUUGAUGUCUGCCGUACCGUAGCUAACGCGUUAAGUGUUCCGCCUGGGGAGUACGGCCGCAAGGCUA
RNAcentral lists this ribosomal RNA (375 nucleotides) under uncultured organism. RNAcentral's name for it is "partial 16S ribosomal RNA". It matches the Rfam family "Bacterial small subunit ribosomal RNA", at positions 527 to 896 of the family's 1533-position model. The record is from RNAcentral.